CAUUCAUUGUUUAUUUGACAGGGAGAGGUUGGUGCGAUGGUAUCUCUUAAAACCAUCUGUGAGAUUUAUCUGUGAUUUGUGGGAAUGCUAACACUUUCUGAGGCAGUCACUCCCCCAACAUUAGAUGCAGGGGGGGCCCUAAUCAGUCACUGUUCAUCACCAACUUCCUCAAACAGUCCAUAAAGAUGUCAGCAAAAAGCAAAGAGCAGCAACUCCCUGAUAUAUGCCGGUUAAGCUUGUUUGUAAAAGCAGCUUAUGCUUCUUCCUCUUAGAGCCACUCAGGAUCAGCUAAAGAAAAAAUGUGCCUCUGCCAGGCUUCUCCACGUUUAUUGAGGAAACGGUCAGUUAGUGAGAAGUAUCCCAUUUUACCAUGACUGCCUUUGAACCAGAGUAACCCAGAAGAAAAGGAUGACAUCCAUGGGAAACGAGGAUGAGGAUGAAAACGGUGUGAAUCAUCUGCCGUGACCUUCGCAAUCGCCAGAUCUCAGCGCAGCAGAACACCCGUGGGAGAUUUUGGACCAAUUUUAUUUUAAACCGCCGCCAUCGCUGAAACACAAAACGACGAGUUGUUCUUUAUGCCUCCACAGAAUUGAUGCCAAGCUGCACUGAAGCUGUUCUGGUGUUACAUGUUUAUUUAAUAAAGCUGCUACAAUAAUUA
Non-coding RNA from Neolamprologus brichardi, 658 nucleotides. The record is from RefSeq and is a predicted model, not a curated record. Lineage: Eukaryota; Metazoa; Chordata; Actinopteri; Cichliformes; Cichlidae.